This 491-nucleotide ribosomal RNA is filed under the name uncultured bacterium. Its description in RNAcentral is "partial 16S ribosomal RNA". It matches the Rfam family "Bacterial small subunit ribosomal RNA", at positions 354 to 861 of the family's 1533-position model. The record is from RNAcentral.
GUGGGGAAUAUUGCACAAUGGGCGAAAGCCUGAUGCAGCAACGCCGCGUGAGUGAUGAAGGUCUUCGGAUUGUAAAGCUCUGUCUUUUGGGACGAUAAUGACGGUACCAAAGGAGGAAGCCACGGCUAACUACGUGCCAGCAGCCGCGGUAAUACGUAGGUGGCGAGCGUUGUCCGGAUUUACUGGGCGUAAAGGGUGCGUAGGCGGAUGUUUAAGUGAGAUGUGAAAUACCCGGGCUUAACUUGGGUGCUGCAUUUCAAACUGGAUAUCUAGAGUGCAGGAGAGGAGAAUGGAAUUCCUAGUGUAGCGGUGAAAUGCGUAGAGAUUAGGAAGAACACCAGUGGCGAAGGCGAUUCUCUGGACUGUAACUGACGCUGAGGCACGAAAGCGUGGGUAGCAAACAGGAUUAGAUACCCUGGUAGUCCACGCCGUAAACGAUGAGUACUAGGUGUAGGAGGUAUCGACCCCUUCUGUGCCGCAGUAAACACAUU